GCAAGUCUGCUCCGACCGCUGCGUCGCCCGCAGUUAACGGGAGACUUCCGAUGCUUUGCUGCGCUUUCUGAGUUAGUCGUGGAAACUGCACCCGGGGGUAGGCCCAGUCAACCCUGGGGCCUACUGAUGGGGCUUAUACAGCAGCCUGAAAAACAUCAGAAAACAGCACAACACCCAGGAAUCACUUAAGGCUGGGAGCCAGAAGUGUCUUGAUCACCCUGGUUGGGCAGCUCUCACCAGACGACUACGGGAGGAAUGGCCUUGCUUCUUCCAGUGACAGCUGAUGCCACAUCCCGCCCCCCAGGUGCCAGAUGUUCUGAACUAUACUUCCCAUCAGCUCAACCAUAAUGACCAAUGGGCAGAGGCAAGAAUCGUGCCCUUCAGAAGGGUUCCAGUACCAGACAGGAUCCAUUCCUACAAUUUAGUCAGGGAAGGGAGCUCUCCGAGACUGGAUGUGGACAACAAUUCCUCUCCUGUGGUUCAAGUCCUGUCAGAUCUCCAGACAGCCUCGCUUUCGAAUGCUACAUGACUACAGAGCCAUUUUCUGCACAGGUGUCCGGAGAAGGAUCCAUGAGCUUUCUGGUGUGGCAAACUGCAUGAAUCCUGAGGAAAUGUAGGCACAGGACAACGAAUCUCUGAUAUAUUUCCACUCUCCGCCUCUGUGCCUGGGCUGUUUUCACCUUGCAGGGGUUCUGUAUUCUCAGAACCACCCACGAGGAAAGCAUAAGAAGCCUCUCAUCCAGGGCCACCGGCGUAGCCCUCCUUGGGCCUACUGCCCUUUCCCCAGGCCAAGAGGGAGCCGGUUGUGGCCCUCCAGAUUGUUUUAGCCUAUACCUCCCACCAUGUAGGCUGCCUGGGUUGUAGGUCAAAACAUCUGGUAAACCCCAGUUGUAACAGAAACACGUAGCAGACCAGACACAGAUUUCCUUGAAUCACAUUAGUCCAGGCAUAGUUUAUCAGUCACGUGAAAUACUGUAUUUCAAAAUGAGGUUUUUCGGGUUUUUAGGCACCUUUGAGCAAAACUGGAGAGGUGUUUCAGGUUUUGCAGGGUUGUGUUUGCAUGGCAGAACUACCUGUGGAUUGUUUAAAGCAUGGAUGAGCACGAACAAGCAAGUGGGAGCAGCUUCUGACUGCCCCAAUACUCCCACUGCAGCCAGGUGCAGCUAAACAACCCAUGGAUGCCCCUAAUGGGGACAUCUGAAUUGGGUGUUCUGGGCCGCUGGGGAGAGAGAACCCCUGGUUUAAUUCUUGAGGUAGGACUUGGGGUUGUCUUCUCUGCCAGCAGCCCACAAUUCUGGGUUCAGACAUCACAACGCACAGACCAGAGAUGGGGUGUUGUUUAGCUCAGCAGCAGUGGUGGUGUGUGCUUGCCCGGUUCAAUCACGAUCACCUAUGCUCAUAGCAACCCCGGGGCAGUCAUGCCUCUGAGCUGAACCAGUGUUGUACAAGCCAUCUUCAAAAAGUUGCCCCCUCCUGUUUUUCUCUCCCUCAUUCCUUUUAUUUUUUCCUUUCCACUUUGGACAACGAACCGCCAAUUCUUUGAUGCCAUUGCUGUUUCUCAGUGCCAUAUUGAUGGAGAUAUAGGGGAGGGUGGCCUUGGGAGAUGGUGGGCUGGAAACAGAAUGGUUGCCAUUAUCUAGUAGAUUCGUUGUAGGAAAUGCUACUGCUCUUUUGCAGUGUCUCCACUUUCUUUCAAAACCUCAAUGACCAUUGUCAAAGAACCUGAUGUUUCUCUAGUGCUGGCCCUUCCCAGUCUAGACAGGAAGAUGUACCCCCAGCUGGGCUUUGAUCCUGCACCACAGUAGCAUCCCUCACUGUGUGCCUUCCCUUGGCUUUCAGUUAAGACUCGCCAUGCAUUUACUUAAUUUUUUAUUCAAUAAUAUAUAAUUACUUUAAUAUAGAACUGUCCAUCAUGCCACAGAGCUUCCCUCCUCCCGCAGCCUGCAAAAUAGGAGCCAGUUACUUCUCAAGGCGGCACAUGCUGGGCCGGGUUUGAGGAAGCCACCUGAGCCAACAACAGUUUUGCAUACCCUUCAUGUUUUCCAUGCUUUCUCGGUCAGGAAGGAGUCAACAGGAAGUCAAAAGCAGAAGUUAAGGUUUGUGUUUUUAUAUGCCAUCAGCUGCCGCUGUUGCAGUCCUCACUCCGGAACCUGCCACCGGGAUGCCACCUGGACGCCGCACACCACCAUCUCUGUACACAAGUGGAUUAAGACGUUUGAUUUGGUUCUUGUUCUGCUUAUGGGAAAUUGGGAGGAACAGCAUCGGACAGACCUAGGGAGAGAGGGGAAGCAAGCAUCAAAGGCAAAGCUGGCGUUGGAAGGGACCAAGCAUGCAGCCCAAACAGUUAGUGCUGUGAGCCAGGGCGACGGGGAGUGUUAGACCAAAGGCUUACUGCCAACCCCCCUGCCAUUUUCCACCAAGAGCCCACCUGUCUGCCAGGCCACCUCCUCCUGUGAAGUGAGUGUGCCUUAGGACAACCUGUGCCAAGACUGUGGUGGCGAUCUAGAGCUGGUGCUGCAUUAUGAUGGCACGUGAGUGACAGCAAGCAGAAAGAGCAAGAUAAACGCUCAGCCUGGCAUCCCACUCACUCAUUCAUCUCACGUUUACAACAGAACGCAGCUCUUUCACCCUUCUCUCUGAAAAACAGGUAUGUAAGGAAGGAUGGGGCAUCUUCUGCAAGGUUUCCAAUUCCCACCAAUGCAGCUAUGCCAGCCACUCUGGGGCCAGGCUGCAUCUUCACAUCAAGUUCUGCAGAAGCAGAGCAGCUAAGCAGAGAUUUCAUUUUCCUGGGACUCUUGGUUUUUAUUUGGAGGGAAGAGGGGGAGAAAAGAUGCACUUGCUUGUUUAGCUCUUACGGCUGCCACAAGAAGUGUUCGAAAAAGUGUGGACAGUCCAUUCUGAUGGAAGCUUCCAAAGCCAGAGGUUGUGGAACAAGAUUUCCAGGGAUGGGGAUGGGAUUCAGUGCCCUUGAGACUUGGCCGCUCCGCAUGACUGGCAAAACAAGAAGAGCGAAGCAAGCGGGCCUCACUUGCGCAGGCCGCACAGCUCCACAUUUUCCUCGCUGUUGAUUUUGUCUGGUUCUAAAAGCGCAGGCUAGACACAGCUCUUCCAGGAGCAGCCUCCCCCGUCUGAUGCCUUCCAGCGUGGCCCAGCUGGGAAGUUCCGGUCCAACACUCCUGGAGGCCACCAGAAGCCAUUUCCUGGCUGAGCAGCCAAGCAUCAGCACACCCACAAGCUCACACUGGCCAAGAGGCUGGCUGCCACAGAGCUAAGGGGUGAGAAACGGGACUGGCAGGCCCUGUCACAGAAGGCGAUGAUCAAAGCAGCCGGCCCGUCCAGCGCCCGGGGCCAGAGUGUGGGCGUUCAGCAUUGCUGUGGCCCAGUGGCCGAAACAGCGAGCAGAUCAGGGGGCUCCAGUCUGAAGUCCACCGUGACUGGUGCCGCAUCACCAGGCCAGCCCUUUUCUUCUCUAGCCUCGCCCCACCAUCCAUGGUAUCAUCACAGCGGCCUGCUUUACUGUACUGGAUAACAAUACAGCGUGACUGUGGAAAUCUCUGGACGCCCCAUAGUUUUCUGAAGAAGAGGCCCCUGCUCUCAUGCACCACAGGCCAAGGGAAAUCUUAGUCAUGCUUGGCAGGCACCAGAUGUCUUUGGGCCCAGGAACUGAGGAGGAUGGAAGACCCAGCACUUCCCUAGGCCUGUUCUGUGCUUCGCUCAGACAGGCACCGGAUAAAGUGAGCACAACUACACACUGCCUCCCCUCGCCUUUUGCCCUAAUCGGGAGGCCUUCCCGGGGUGAACUGGACACUGCUUUUUCCUAAAGACAGAUGCAGUUAAAGGAACAUGUGCCUAUCAGAGACUUGUACAUUUAAGGCCGCAGCCCUUACUUGGUAGGAAGCUCCGCUAAUAGAGCAAGGCCUACUUCUCAGUAAGCAUAGGACUGUGCUGCAAGUUGAGAUUACGUACAGCAAGGAGCAGACACACUUGUAAACUUCCUGCCUUGAAACAAAGAGCAUUCCUUGCCAAGGAAAUGAAAUUCCGCACCACGAGGUCUACCCUGCACUCUGAUUAACCUGUACAUACCUACGCCCACUAUUUACUUGUGAAUUCAGUAUUUUGGUUCUUAAAAACUCUGUUUACAAUGAUAAUAAAUGCUUAUUUCCAUCCUUA
Long non-coding RNA from Varanus komodoensis (Komodo dragon), 4170 nucleotides. RefSeq lists it as uncharacterized. The record is from RefSeq and is a predicted model, not a curated record. Lineage: Eukaryota; Metazoa; Chordata; Lepidosauria; Squamata; Varanidae. The transcript has 3 exons.